UCUGUUAGUCCGGUGUCUAACCUCUGAGCUCAACUUGGAGACAGCAUUGGAAACGGCAGGGCUGGAGUAUGUCAGGGGUAAGCGGAACUAAUAGUGUAGGGGUGAAAUCCGUUGAUAUUAUUGGGAACACCAAAAGCGAAGGCAGCUUACUGGGACAUUACUGACACUGAAACACGAAAGCGUGGGUAGCGAAUGGGAUUAGAUACCCCAGUAGUCCACGCCCUAAACGAUGUUCUCUCGCUAUGUUGAGUAUCGACCCUCAACGUGGCUUAGCUAACGCGGUAAGAGAACCGCCUGGGAAGUACGAUCGCAAGAUUAAAACUCAAAGGAAUAGACGGGGACCUGCACAAGCAGUGGAUUAUGUGGUUUAAUUCGAUGGUAAACGAAGAACCUCACCAGGAUUUGAAACCCACGUGAAAGCCCUAGGAAACUAGGGCCCUCGCAAGACUCGUGGACAGGUGAUGCAUGGCCGUCGUCAGUUCGUGGUUUGAACUGUUCCCUUCAGUGGGGUAACGAACGCAACCCUUAUCGCGUGUUACAAGUGUCACGCGAGACUGCCCCGUAAUCUGGGCAUAAGACAACUUGGAGCAUAGAAUGUAGAUUAGAUAUCGUGCGUAGCAAUACGUAUAUCGUCUAAUCUACAUCCUGUGCUUCACUUUCCGUCUUGUGAGUAGAUUACGGGGAGGAAGGAGAGGAUGACGCCAGGUCAGCAUGUCCCUUUGACAUCCUGGGCUACACACAUAAUACAAUCGCAUAGACAACGGGUCGCGACGAGGUAACUCUGAGCCAAUCCUUCAAACUAUGCGCCAGUUCAGAUUGUGGUCUGCAACUCGACCACAUGAAGCCGGAAUUGCUAGUAAUCGCGGGUCAGCUAAACCGCGGUGAAUACGUUCUCAGGUCUUGUACUCACUGCCCGUCAACUCAAGGGAGCCGG
RNAcentral lists this ribosomal RNA (934 nucleotides) under uncultured bacterium. Its description in RNAcentral is "bacterial SSU rRNA". It matches the Rfam family "Bacterial small subunit ribosomal RNA", at positions 580 to 1414 of the family's 1533-position model. The record is from RNAcentral.